AAAUCCAACUUCCUUGCAGUUGGUUUGUUGCGAGGUUCUGUACAGAAACAACAGGGUCACACUUCCCAGCGGGAUGAUGUCGGCGGUUUCACUGAGUUUGUUCCUGGCGUUAAUAGUCCGUGUCCAUUCCGAUAUCGUUCUAACCCAGCCCAAGACAGAGACGGCCACUCCUGGAGGCUCCAUCACACUGAACUGUAAAGUCAGCGGGUUCAGUGUUGGCAGCUCCUGGAUGACUUUGGUCCGUCAGGUCCCCGGGCAGGGGCUGGAGUGGCUGCUUACCUACUACGGUUCUACUUACACCAAGUACUUCGCUCCGGGGAUAGAGAGCCAAUUUACUCCGUCCAAAGACAAUACGAAUAAUAUCUUCAUCGUGACGGCCAGCAGCCUGAAGAUCGAAGACACGGCUGUCUAUUACUGUGCGAGAGGGCCCACAGUGGAGCAAUAUAUUCAGACCCGUACAAGACCGGCACACUGUGACUAUCUUGACUACUGGGGAGGAGGCACCAUGUUGACGGUAACCAACGCGGCUCCAUCCGCGCCCAGUCCCUUCAUUCUCUUCACCUGCGAGGAUCAAGGCUCCGGUGGUUCGUUCACCUAUGGUUGUUUGGCGUUGGGCUAUUCCCCUGCGGGCGCCAGUGUUUCUUGGAAGAAAGAUGAUAUACAACUGGACGACGGAGUGAAGGACUACCCGGCAGUGUUCAAUAAGUUGGGAACUUACACCCGGAGCAGCGAGUUAACCAUCACCGCGGCGGCGGCAGCGGGAGGUGACAUCUUCUGCGUGGUUCAGCACAACCAGAACGAGUAUAAAGUGAAAGUACCAGACCGCGUGGUACAUCAUCCUACCGUCACCAUUACCAUAACUGCUCUUGAUGAAAUUAAGCGCAGCAGAAAAGCGAUCGCCGUGUGUUUGGUCAACGAUUUCACCCCAGCCAAAUUUACUGUGAACUGGCUGAAGAAUGGAAAUCGAUUGGAUUCUGGCAUCGUCACCUCUCCCGCCUUCCAGGUGAACGGUACCGGUAACUUCUCGGCGACCAGCCAGUUGACAUUCACAGCUGAAGAGUGGUUCGGAGAUUUCGUCUAUACCUGCCAAGUCAACCAUGAAAAAGAUUUGAAAAGCCAAAACAUCAGUAUGUCUUCAGGUAAGAAAUACAUCCGUGGUGUGUCUCGGGAUAUUAGUGUAAACAUUAGCGCUCAGGCCGGUUACUCCUGCAAAUGCUUAUGUUCACAUUCAUUAUUGUGCCACAGAUGUGAUUCCUGCGACAAACUGAUUAUUAAAAUCCUUCCACCACAAGUUGAACAAGAGUUAAUGGAGAUGACCGUGACGUUAACCUGUCUGGUAUCCGAUGCACCUUAUGGUAUCACAGUAUCUUGGAAACGUGGGAAUGUACAUUUGGUAUCAUACAUCCAGCCCACAGGACAUGCAGAUAUCGUACAGAGCAAAGUCAACAUUUCGACUCAAGACUGGCUGAGUGGGGAUUAUUUCGAAUGCGUGGUGAGCCAUGGUAAUAUGCCAAAGCCAAAAACUGAACGAAUCAACUGGAAGAAAGGUCAACAUCUGCUGCCACCUUCCGUCUCAGUCCUUCUGCCGCCGACAGAAGAAAUCUCCGCGCACAAGACUAUCACCCUCACCUGCUUCGUGAGAGGAUUCUCCCCUCGCAGGGUCUUCGUCACGUGGACACUUGAUGACAAGCGGGUGGAUGAGAGCAAGUACAAGAACACCGAGGUGGAGGCGGAGAACGGCAAUGAUACCUUCUUCACAUACAGCCUGUUAUCCGUUGGGGCAGAGGAGUGGGCUAGCGGAGCCUCCUUCUCCUGUCUAGUGGGGCACGAAGCACUCCCCAUGAAGACCAUCGUCAGAACGGUCAAUAAGUCCAGCGGUAAACCCAGUUUUGUCAACGUUUCCCUUGUAUUAAUGGACACUGUCAAUUCCUGUCAAUGAGAAUGAAUUAGUUUCAAAUUCCUCUGAAAUAAAUGCUAAUAAAUAUCUUUAACCUCCAA
This is a non-coding RNA of Leucoraja erinaceus (little skate), 1998 nucleotides long. Lineage: Eukaryota; Metazoa; Chordata; Chondrichthyes; Rajiformes; Rajidae. The record is from the annotation of a RefSeq genome assembly.